RNAcentral lists this ribosomal RNA (483 nucleotides) under uncultured Pseudonocardia sp. RNAcentral's name for it is "bacterial SSU rRNA". It matches the Rfam family "Bacterial small subunit ribosomal RNA", at positions 116 to 614 of the family's 1533-position model. Lineage: Bacteria; Bacillati; Actinomycetota; Actinomycetes; Pseudonocardiales; Pseudonocardiaceae. The record is from RNAcentral.
CGUGGGUGACCUGCCCUCCACUCUGGGAUAAGCCUGGGAAACUGGGUCUAAUACUGGAUAUGACCUGCGAUUGCAUGAUUGUGGGUGGAAAGUUUUUCGGUGGGGGAUGGGCCCGCGGCCUAUCAGCUUGUUGGUGGGGUGAUGGCCUACCAAGGCGACGACGGGUAGCCGGCCUGAGAGGGCGACCGGCCACACUGGGACUGAGACACGGCCCAGACUCCUACGGGAGGCAGCAGUGGGGAAUAUUGCGCAAUGGGCGGAAGCCUGACGCAGCGACGCCGCGUGGGGGAUGACGGCCUUCGGGUUGUAAACCUCUUUCGGCCCCGACGAAGCGGAAGUGACGGUAGGGGUGGAAGAAGCACCGGCCAACUACGUGCCAGCAGCCGCGGUAACACGUAGGGUGCGAGCGUUGUCCGGAAUUAUUGGGCGUAAAGAGCUCGUAGGCGGUGUGUCGCGUCGGCCGUGAAAACCUGCAGCUUAACU